AGGACGAACGCUGGCGGCGUGCCUAACACAUGCAAGUCGAGCGGGGACAUACGACGGACGUGAAGUUUUCGGAUGGAGCGGAAGAUGUAUGUUCUAGCGGCGGACGGGUGAGUAACGCGUGAGCAACCUGUCCCUUACAGGGGGAUAACACAGCGAAAGUUGUACUAAUACCGCAUGAGACCACGGUAAGACAUCCUACAGGGGUCAAAGGAGUAAUCCGGUAAGGGGUGGGCUCGCGUCCGAUUAGAUAGUUGGUGAGGUAACGGCCCACCAAGUCAACGAUCGGUAGCCGACCUGAGAGGGUGAUCGGCCACAUUGGGACUGAGACACGGCCCAAACUCCUAUGGGAGGCAGCAGGUGGGGAAUAUUGGCAAUGGGGGAACCCUGACCCAGCAACGCCGCGUGAGGGAAGAAGGUUUUCGGAUCGUAAACCUCUGUCCUUGGUGAAGAGUAAGAGACGGUAGCCAAGGAGGAAGCCCCGGCUAACUACGUGCCAGCAGCUGC
This 504-nucleotide ribosomal RNA is filed under the name uncultured bacterium. Its description in RNAcentral is "bacterial SSU rRNA". It matches the Rfam family "Bacterial small subunit ribosomal RNA", at positions 26 to 518 of the family's 1533-position model. The record is from RNAcentral.